Molecule: ribosomal RNA, 497 nt
Filed under: uncultured bacterium
Lineage: Bacteria
Description: partial 16S ribosomal RNA
Rfam family: Bacterial small subunit ribosomal RNA
Source: RNAcentral
GAUGAACGCUGGCGGCGUGCCUAAUACAUGCAAGUCGAACGCAUAGCGAAAGGUGCUUGCACCUUUCAAGUGAGUGGCGAACGGGUGAGUAACACGUGGACAACCUGCCUCAAGGCUGGGGAUAACAUUUGGAAACAGAUGCUAAUACCGAAUAAAACUUAGUGUCGCAUGACACAAAGUUAAAAGGCGCUUCGGCGUCACCUAGAGAUGGAUCCGCGGUGCAUUAGUUAGUUGGUGGGGUAAAGGCCUACCAAGACAAUGAUGCAUAGCCGAGUUGAGAGACUGAUCGGCCACAUUGGGACUGAGACACGGCCCAAACUCCUACGGGAGGCUGCAGUAGGGAAUCUUCCACAAUGGGCGAAAGCCUGAUGGAGCAACGCCGCGUGUGUGAUGAAGGCUUUCGGGUCGUAAAGCACUGUUGUAUGGGAAGAACAGCUAGAAUAGGAAAUGAUUUUAGUUUGACGGUACCAGACCAGAAAGGGACGGCUAAAUACGUG